AUCUGCCGUUUUCAACAUCAAGGAUCCCCUCCCCCCCCACGUUCGUCUUCUUCUCCAAGACUCACCCCAAUUUCCGUUAAAGAAGGUCGGCCACCAACCUAAGAAAGGAAAAGGCAGCCAAUUAACUCCUCCAUUCUAGAGGAUAUCCGCUGCUACUGCCAUCGGAUUUCACCACUGGUUGGCAGUCACCUUACCUCCCUGUACCACGCCGGCAGUGACCACCAUCGCCGAUGACCCCUCCAUCUCCCAACAACCUUUCUCCACCCCUGUUUCAACCUCGAAACUAUCCAGAUCUAGCUAAAACACACCCAAACUUCAGCCAUGAAACAAUCUUAAAUCAGUCACAAAAAAUCAUGUAAAAAUUGACUUCCCCCGCUAGAGUGAAGAGGAGUUUCGAGAGAGGUGUUCGAGGUCGCCGUUCAAGUUUACGGCGAAAUUUCCAUUUCGAAUUUUGUUGACAGAGUCUUACCUUUGCUAAUAGAUCGAUACUCCUCUGUACAAGUCUGCCUUUAGCAAUAUCAAAGAAAGCUUACUGCUUUGAGGUUCAUUCUUGUCUUUUCUUUUCUCUUUUUCUUUUCUUCAAGUUUUAUUAACUUAUAUGCCUACAAGAUCUUGUUUGUUAAUAUACUAUGGAUUUGUAUUGAAUAUCCUAUGUUUUGUUUGUGGAUUCUCCUUCUUGAACUACUAAAUUAGUAUUUGUUCAUAUGAUUAUCGUCUAUAUGUGCUAGAGAAGGAAAUUGAAGAAAAAUUUUACUUGAAGUUUGGUAGAACAUUAAUUGUUUGUUAAUUUGAAUUAAGACUUAACGUGAUUAAAUCAAUGAGAUACCUAUUUAAGUGGUAUUAGUUAUAAUUGUAACCAAGUAUGGGCUCAUUUAUGUACAUAUGCUUGUAUCACAAUUACUUUGCAUCAGUGAGCUUUCUAAGUUUAUAAUGCACACCAAACAUUAGGAAACACACAAAUAAGUUUCACGUUAUUUUAACUUUGCCAAUUACCAUAUUUGAGAUUUAGCUGCGUGUGAAACGACUUUUGAACAUCGUAACUUGUUUUAGGCGCAAUUAAUAAUAAAUCAUCGUGACUACGGGUACGGUUCCCAUGACGUAGUUGUGGCACAUAGUUUCUAAAUCCGGGGGUACAUUUAUGUGACCCGGCCACAAUUUCUAAUAAUGUUAAUAAAUUUAACAUGUUGUAGAUCGUGGGUACAGUUCCCGUGACAUGAUUCAUAAUGUGUACCAAACAAAUAAGUGUACGGCAAUCGUAACUUGUUCCAGAAUAAUUUCAUAAAUAAUUAAAAACGGUUAAAAAAUUAAAAAUGCACGUAGGUUUUAAAUGUGUAUUAAUCAUAUAAUUAAGUUAAUAAUAAUAGUUGAGCGACCGUGCUAAAACCACGGAACCCGGGAAUGCCUAACACCUUUUCUCGGGUUAACAGAAUUUCUUACCCGGAUUUUUGUGUUCGCGGACUGUAAAACAAAGUCAAUCUUUCCUCGAUUCGGGAUUUAAACCGGUGACUUGGGACACCAUAAAUUAUCCCAAGUGGCGACUCUGAAUUUAAUAUAAAUAAUCCGGUUUCGAUUGUCACUUAAAUUGGAAAAAACUCCCUUAUAUACCCCUUUCGGGGGUGUGAAAAAGGAGGUUUGACAGCUCUGGCGACUCUGCUGGGGAAAAGAACCCAGAACUUCUGGUUCAGGGUUCAAGAAUUCGAGCUUAGAAUAAUUGUUAUGUUUGACUUUAUUUAUUGUCUGAUUUUAUUUACAUGUUUGGCCCUAAUGUGAUAAAUGUUGUUUUUACCGCUUUGAUAUUAUCUAAACUGCAUAUAAACUGCUACGAAACACCUAUCUUCUAAUCUUCUUAGAAGUGCACGCUUGCAUGACUUCUUUCUGUUAGUGUCAUACCCUAAUUAGAAUGAGGUUCGGACAAGUUGCAAAGCCGGAUGAUCUUUUGGUUACCGGUACGCUGCCCCCCCCCCCCCGGCUCGAGUUGUCCGCUCGGGUAAGCCAGGUCUAGAAUAAUACACCCAGGUUUUAAACUUAGAAGAACUCAGCCUCAUGCCGGAUCCUUAGUAGGAACGCGUAUUUGCAUCAUAUGCAUUUGACUUUGGGAACUCAACACAGGGGUUGUGUCCGUCUAGGACAGGUGUACCCAAAAAAGUAAAAGACCAUCCUAAUGCAUUCUAUGUGCUACAUGUUGCAAUCUUCAAGGGUAAAAGGGGUCAUUUGGCGGACCAAUGAGGGUUGAGGAUAAAUGAAAGAAGAGGGUGAAGUGUAAAAAAUAAAGCAAGUAGGGCCCAGUUAUAAUUUUCUUUGACACUUUUUCAAGAAAAAAACAAAAAAAUAAAAAUGAAAAAUCCAAAACGAUUUUGCACUUUCCCAUCAUUUUACAAAAAAAAAAAAUCAAAAAAAGGAAAAAAAAAGAAAAUCCAAAAAGAGUUUACAUGUUUCAUUAUUUUUUUAAAAAAAAAUUCUCUAAAUUACUUGUGUUUAUAAUUCUCGCCCGUAUCCAAUCUGUCAGAACUACACGAACUUGAUUCUCGUCUCUCGGGGCGGGAUACGUAGGCAAACCACAUAGGGCCCGAUCUUGCUAGUGAGUCUUAGGUUCUUGGCUUCGUUGGGCCAAAUCUUGCAUUUUUAGCCACUUUUAGCCACAUAGGUUAAUUUUAGAAAAAUAGUCACAAUCAUGUCUUGCAUGUGUCCAACAGGAAGUGUUAUUGUCUCACAUAGUGUUCUAGGUCUUUAACUUUAUUUUGUCUAAUUUUCUCAUACAAGUGUGGAUCUACCUACCGGAGUUUGGGCAUGACAAAUGUCUUAGGACCAUCCAGUCAAGAUCGCUCAUUCAGGAGUUGCUUAAGGAGGUUUAUUUUUAUUUUUUAUUUUUUUGAAUCUGUUUUUCUUUAUAUGUCGUGUUUUACCUUCUAAUUUUGUACAGUAAUAUCGAGUGUUUUAUUAUUGUAUUUCCUAUUUUGUAUUGGAAAUAUAUGUUAUAAAUCAAAAAUCCCAAAAACAAA
RNAcentral lists this long non-coding RNA (2999 nucleotides) under Nicotiana tabacum (common tobacco). Its description in RNAcentral is "long non-coding RNA (NTAB_LNC004215)". Lineage: Eukaryota; Viridiplantae; Streptophyta; Magnoliopsida; Solanales; Solanaceae. The record is from RNAcentral.